RNAcentral lists this ribosomal RNA (253 nucleotides) under uncultured bacterium. RNAcentral's name for it is "partial 16S ribosomal RNA". It matches the Rfam family "Bacterial small subunit ribosomal RNA", at positions 524 to 776 of the family's 1533-position model. The record is from RNAcentral.
UACAGAGGGGGCUAGCGUUGCUCGGAAUCACUGGGCGUAAAGCGCACGUAGGCGGUCUUUUAAGUCAGGGGUGAAAUCCUGGAGCUCAACUCCAGAACUGCCUUUGAUACUGAGAGACUUGAGUCCGGGAGAGGUGAGUGGAACUGCGAGUGUAGAGGUGAAAUUCGUAGAUAUUCGCAAGAACACCAGUGGCGAAGGCGGCUCACUGGCCCGGUACUGACGCUGAGGUGCGAAAGCGUGGGGAGCAAACAGG